AGCGAACGCUGGCGGCAGGCCUAACACAUGCAAGUCGAGCGGCCGUAGCAAUACGGCAGCGGCAGACGGGAGAGUAACACGUGGGAACGUACCCUUUGGUUCGGAACAACCCAGGGAAACUUGGGCUAAUACCGGAUAAGUCCGUAAGGAGAAAGAUUUAUCGCCAAAGGAUCGGCCCGCGUCUGAUUAGCUAGUUGGUGAGGUAAUGGCUCACCAAGGCGACGAUCAGUAGCUGGUCUAAGAGGAUGAUCAGCCUCACUGGGACUGAGACACGGCCCAGACUCCUACGGGAGGCAGCAGUGGGGAAUAUUGGACAAUGGGCGCAAGCCUGAUCCAGCCAUGCCGCGUGGAUGAUGAAGGCCCUAGGGUUGUAAAGUCCUUUCGGCGGGGAAGAUAAUGACGGUACCCGCAGAAGAAGCCCCGGCUAACUUCGUGCCAGCAGCCGCGGUAA
This 451-nucleotide ribosomal RNA is filed under the name uncultured bacterium. Its description in RNAcentral is "partial 16S ribosomal RNA". It matches the Rfam family "Bacterial small subunit ribosomal RNA", at positions 29 to 523 of the family's 1533-position model. The record is from RNAcentral.